GACAGUUACAGCUCUUUUACAAUUUGUCUUGCAGGCUGUUUUUGUUUUUUUUUAAUCAGAAAGCCUCC
Small nuclear RNA from Macaca fascicularis (crab-eating macaque), 68 nucleotides. Its record names the gene U7. It matches the Rfam family "U7 small nuclear RNA". From Rfam's summary of the family: Animal histone pre-mRNAs are spliced by a different mechanism than nuclear pre-mRNAs and self-splicing introns. NCBI's taxonomy places the organism in Eukaryota, Metazoa, Chordata, Mammalia, Primates, Cercopithecidae. The record is from Ensembl.